Molecule: long non-coding RNA, 943 nt
Organism: Tupaia belangeri chinensis (Chinese tree shrew)
Lineage: Eukaryota; Metazoa; Chordata; Mammalia; Scandentia; Tupaiidae
Exons: 4
Source: RefSeq, a predicted model, not a curated record
UGACCGGCGCUGCGGGUCCCCCUGGAUCUGCUGGGCUCCGGCGCCGCACGCGCGGGGGAGGGGGCUGCCAGCCCUCGCCCCUCCUCCUGGCGCUGCAGGGAGCGAACCAGCGAUUCCCGAACUGGCACGCGGAGCUGAGCAGGGGGGCUGGAGACGCCGAGAGGAGGGGCCGGGGGCCGCGAGGGGACGAGGCGGACGGUUGAGGGGAUCUCCGGCACCUCGCAGGGAAACACACAAAGGCAGCGCCGCGCGUCUGCCGGUGCCUCUCCGGGAGGCGCGGAGCCUGGGGCGGGGGGGGCAAAGAUCAGGGACCCCUGGAGGCGGGGUUUCGCCCUCGGCCCACACCCCCUGCCUGGGUUUGGCAGGCGGCUUCCUGCGAAGGGCUGAGGGCGUCAGGCUGAGGCCCUGGAAGGAAAAGAGACUUCAGGAGCAAGGCUAGCGCCGGAGGCUGCACGCUCAGGGUAUCGCCCCUCUCUGUGAAGCCCAAGUCUGUGUCGUCAAGAGGGCUUGCUCCGUACUGGCCAUUGAGUAGUUGAAACAGCUGAGAUGUGACUUUGUGCUUAAAAGAAAACCCACAUUUACCUUAAGGAGAAAUUCAAGAAACUUCUGAUGUCCCUUAUGCCUAUAGGUCUGUUCGUGCGGAGGCCUGGAGUGAGUCUAGCUCAUCAGUGCCUCCUUGCAAUGGAGCCAGGCCAGCUGGCUGCAGCAAAGCUCCAGACAGCCUUUCACCCUUACAGAGGCGAUUAAUGGUUUUCAAGAGGGGGUGUGGGAGUGUGGCAGCAAAAUGUCAUUGUCCAAAGGGUUACUGGAAUUCAACCCUGCGCAAGUAUCCCCAAGACUAAGAAACUACAGCAAAACACUGCAAGGACUCCUUGGCCUCCAAAUUCAAGUCUAAAGCUACUGGCAAGCACACAUGUUCUAAGACAAAAAUCUCAACAACGAC